This is a long non-coding RNA of Oncorhynchus tshawytscha (Chinook salmon), 1830 nucleotides long. The record is from Ensembl. NCBI's taxonomy places the organism in Eukaryota, Metazoa, Chordata, Actinopteri, Salmoniformes, Salmonidae.
UUGGAGUUAUCCAAAUUUAGUUUUGUGAGACACCUGUUUGUUAGCAGUUGAACACAUUACAUGGUGAGCAGAAAAUGGCGGAAUCUGAUGCUGAGUUUGAAUCUGAUGGCACUAGCAAAGAUGAGAAUGAAGGUGACGACAAUACUGGACGGACAACCGUCACUGAAGGACAGAUAAAGAGAGCUCAAAUCACAAUGAAAAAAACAUCUAAGCCUACUACUAAUUGAUUUUUAGUAUAAUAAGACAAAUACUUCAACUAGGCCUACUUCACAGUUUGUAGUAGCAGCAUGGUUUAAGGAUAAGAAGAUGUACCUGGGAGAUCUGUUUUGAUGUUAAAUGGUGAAUAAUCUGUUGGGUAAAGUGAAAUCUUUGAGGCUGACGAGAACUGGAAUUCUGUAGAUUUUUUUGUGUCGGCAGAACAAAAGGACUAUGCGUUGCGCCUCACCAGAAUCAAGGAGAAAGAGGUGACUGCCAUCGGAGCAGAGCACCAUUGAAGGGUGUUUUUUCUGGAGUCUCUGUGGAAGUUGGAGUGGAGAAGACCAAUAUGAAAAUGUCUGGAGUGUAGUUGGGAGUGAGUAUAGAGCAGACGGCACGGGUCAAAAUUUUGAUUUAUGGCCCUGUGUCCAGAUGAUGCGUACAUGUCCAAAUAUGGGCAUCCGGCCAGGACAUCCUGUUCCUGUUGUCACGUGUUAGAGGGUGUGUUAUUUUAUAUCUAUAUUGCAUCUAUUCCUUUGAAGUUGUCAUGCUGAUUGAUGUCUAGGUACCUGGUUGAACUGGGGGGUUCUGUGUUUGAACUUUUGAAAGAGUAUGGCCCCACACCCCUGUUUUAUUGCCUGUAGGAUUGCUAUCUAUGAAGCAGGAAUGUGUGUGUGUGUGUGUUAGAAACAAGGUCCCUUGGCAUUGUGUACAUUUCACGCUUUCAACAACAAUAAAACAGCCAUCUAAAUAAUGUUUCUCAGCCUAACACUCUGUUGAGUUUCCUAUUUAGUUCUCUUUAUAUGUACAUGCACAGAGCUUCCAGGUGGUUCCAGCCUAUGGAUGUUCGGUGCAUGUACACCAGGGAGAUUAGAACCUAAACAAGAUUUUUAAAAUAAAACCCAGAAUAUUAAACAUAAAAAUAUGUCUCCUAGGCCAAUUCUCGGGGUGCUAUGCGGCUCAUGUCAUGAACCCAAUGACAAAAGCCUGGAGGAUGUUUUGCGUGAGACCCCAGAAUGUUUUAAUGGAGUUAAUGGAGCCCUAAGAAUCGCUUCAAUGGCGUAUACCCCUGACUCCAAAGUGACAAUUUUAGCAUGUGAACAAUUUGAUAGAUUUCGUCGCAUUUGCACUGUCAGUUCAUAUGUAUUUUCCAAAGCAUGCAAGGAUGUAAACUUUUUUUUUAUGCCUGUGUUAAGUUUUAAAUGGCGUGAUUAUCAUAUCUUCAGAACACUUAUGAAUAAGCUGGACAGUCUUUUCCAAAAUCGUGAACAAUUACGGCGAUGGCCGAGGUUAUCGUUGAGACAAACACAGGACUCGCAAGCCAGAAGGAGGAUCUUUCCCUAGAGUGAAAACGUCCGGAGCUUUGAUGGAGCGGGCAAGCGUCUUUGCGAUGGUGAAUUGGAAACGGAUAAUGGUCAGGGCUAACCAGCCCCUUUAUCUGUCAGAAAUAGUAAAAAUGUUGAAUUAUAACGUGUGUUAAAAUGUAUGUACUAAAUAUUUUGAAUUAAAUCAUUGGUUUUAAAAAUGUAUCUCACCCUUUAACGAAAGGGGAAACUGUCUUUUCUCUCAUGCCCUGGUCUGUCGCAGAGAAAUGCAAUGUCUUAAAAAAACAAUGUAUUAUUUUAUAGUCUUUCC